Molecule: microRNA precursor, 84 nt
Filed under: Bombyx mori (domestic silkworm)
Lineage: Eukaryota; Metazoa; Arthropoda; Insecta; Lepidoptera; Bombycidae
Description: mir-2807 microRNA precursor family
Rfam family: mir-2807 microRNA precursor family
Source: Rfam by way of RNAcentral
UUAACGUUGAUUUGUAUGGUGUUAGAACGUUUGUCUACGUUUGCCGCUAGGGGCGCUGUUCCAAGUCCAUACAAAUUUGAGUUA